GGUGAAGUCCCUCGCGGAUGGAGCUGAUGAGAGUCGCAGAUACCAGGUGGCUGCAACUGUUUAUUAAAAACACAGCACUGUGCAAAAUCGUAAGAUGACGUAUACGGUGUGACGCCUGCCCGGUGCCGGAAGGUUAAUUGAUGGGGUUAGCGUAAGCGAAGCUCUUGAUCGAAGCCCCGGUAAACGGCGGCCGUAACUAUAACGGUCCUAAGGUAGCGAAAUUCCUUGUCGGGUAAGUUCCGACCUGCACGAAUGGCGUAAUGAUGGCCACGCUGUCUCCACCCGAGACUCAGUGAAAUUGAAAUCGCUGUGAAGAUGCAGUGUACCCGCGGCUAGACGGAAAGACCCCGUGAACCUUUACUACAGCUUGGCACUGAACAUUGAACCUACAUGUGUAGGAUAGGUGGGAGGCUUUGAAGACAUGACGCUAGUUGUGUUGGAGCCGUCCUUGAAAUACCACCCUUGUAUGUUUGAUGUUCUAACUUAGCCCCGUUAUCCGGGGUGAGGACAGUGCCUGGUGGGUAGUUUGACUGGGGCGGUCUCCUCCCAAAGAGUAACGGAGGAGCACGAAGGUGGGCUAAUCACGGUUGGACAUCGUGAGGUUAGUGCAAUGGCAUAAGCCCGCUUAACUGCGAGAAUGACGGUUCGAGCAGGUGCGAAAGCAGGUCAUAGUGAUCCGGUGGUUCUGUAUGGAAGGGCCAUCGCUCAACGGAUAAAAGGUACUCCGGGGAUAACAGGCUGAUACCGCCCAAGAGUUCAUAUCGACGGCGGUGUUUGGCACCUCGAUGUCGGCUCAUCACAUCCUGGGGCUGAAGUCGGUCCCAAGGGUAUGGCUGUUCGCCAUUUAAAGUGGUACGCGAGCUGGGUUUAGAACGUCGUGAGACAGUUCGGUCCCUAUCUGCCGUGGGCGUUGGAAGAUUGAAGGGGGCUGCUCCUAGUACGAGAGGACCGGAGUGGACGAACCUCUGGUGUUCGGGUUGUGUCGCCAGACGCAUUGCCCGGUAGCUAAGUUCGGAAUCGAUAACCGCUGAAAGCAUCUAAGCGGGAAGCGAGCCCUGAGAUGAGUCUUCCCUGACAGUUUAACUGUCCUAAAGGGUUGUUCGAGACUAGAACGUUGAUAGGCAGGGUGUGUAAGCGUUGUGAGGCGUUGAGCUAACCUGUACUAAUUGCCCGUGAGGCUUAACCAU
Molecule: ribosomal RNA, 1187 nt
Filed under: Staphylococcus simulans
Lineage: Bacteria; Bacillati; Bacillota; Bacilli; Caryophanales; Staphylococcaceae
Description: bacterial LSU rRNA
Rfam family: Bacterial large subunit ribosomal RNA
Source: RNAcentral